Molecule: long non-coding RNA, 3914 nt
Organism: Haplochromis burtoni (Burton's mouthbrooder)
Lineage: Eukaryota; Metazoa; Chordata; Actinopteri; Cichliformes; Cichlidae
Exons: 3
Source: RefSeq, a predicted model, not a curated record
UAACUGGAGGGUCCAGCAGGACCUUGUUCUAAUUCAUUUGCAGGCCUACAUCAGAACAUGCACAUAGAGAGUUAUGUAAACACGCACGUUCGCAUACACACUUAUUUACACAGGGAGGUCGUGUCAGGACGUUCUCUAGUUGGACUCACAGAACUGCACAACAUGACAUGUCACACACACUUAUUUUUCUCUAAAGUAUCAUCUGAUGUUUGUAUAAGGAGAACUUUGGACUAUGGGGAGACUGUUAUCAUUUCCAGUAAGGUCUAACUGUGUGAUGUCAUCAUGGGUUAUAUAAGGAUGGGGAGCUGUCCACUCUUUGGAGAAUCUGUUGCAAGUUUUCUUCCCACACUUCUGUGCAGAGUGUGUAAUUAAAGAUCUCUAUUUUGACGCCUCCCUGGACUCAGCCUGCUUUCUUCUCUUACCCAAAUCGAACGAAUCUUAAAAAUUCUUGGUGCCGAAACCGGUUGGGGAGGAGAGGAGCGUGCGACUGUGGCCUGGAAGGUGCCAAAACGAACGGAGAUCAGCAGCUUAUCUGAGUGACAAGCCAGGCGAAAUAAAAGUUGUGUCCAUGGAUUACUCACUUCACCAUCUACAUUUCUCCUUCCACUCGGUCACUGGACUUUUACUGCUGUAUUCUCCACCCUCACUCCGGUAUAGACUCCAUUCUUCUCACCUGCUUGCCUCUCUGCACUCACAAUCGGACUUCUUCACGGAUUGGAAUACCUCAAACUCAACCAGACCUUCUCCAAAUUUACUACAUGUGCCGGCAGACAAUCUCUUUGACCAUCGAUCAAUUCCAGUGUCUGUGUUUUUAACGUGCCCCAUGGGUCCAUCCUGUUUCUGACGGCCUGUGCCAUGACAGAUAUAGGCUAAGUUCCCAGACAAACCGGCAAGUGACAGUACUGAACUCUCUGCUCCUGAGUUUGUCAAGCAGGACUCAGAAUCAUGAGUUGUCAGGGUCUUUGCUGCCACAUUCUGGGAUUUCCCUUAGGAUUAGACUGGCUGUCAAUCAGAGACUGAUCCUUAUGUUUGUCAGUCUAAAGACUUUGAAUCUGCUCUUUGUGUGCUGUGUUUUGAACCUGCCUGUAAAAGUGUUGUGCCGGCUGCUCCAAGCACUAUGUCUAGCUACCUACAGCAAAUUUUUCUGUAGUCUGUGUUUUCUCUCACUGAGCUAACCUCUUCAAAGACUGAUGUUUGUAUGGGUCAAACAUGAGGCCAAUACUAAGCCAUCUCUUUUUCCUGUGCCAGCUUCCAGGGUGAGGUUAGCCAAGACCCAGUCUGCCUUAGCACCCGGACUAGUUCCACUGGUGGGGGUGGCUUGGGUUCAGUGGGUUUCUGCACCUGUGCCGGGUGCCUGCACCUGUGCCAGGUCCCAGGGCGAGGGUAGCUGAGACCCAGUCCCCUUCUGCACCUGUAACUGUUGGGUUUUGGGGAGGUUAUUGUCCAACUAGUUUCUGUGCCUGCAAGCGCUGCAAAGCCCCAGCCAGAGCAAUCAGAGCCUUUUGUGAGCCAGAGGUUUUCAUGUCAUCUGGCCCAGCCAUGUCUCAGCGAGAGGUCUUAGUGUCAUCUGGUUCUGUACUUGCCAAGCCUGCCACACCGAGUCCUGCACGUCUUGUGCCUGCCAUGCCACAUCCUGCACUGCCUGCACUUGCCAAGCCACAUCCUGCACCAUUUGCGCCUGCCAAACUGUCUUCACCCAGGCCGCGGCCAACCACCUGCCAAGUCAUUCAAGGAUCUUUGUCCAUGCUGCCACUGACCACCUGCCAAGCUGCCUGAGGAUGCUUUGUCUCCAUCGCCAUCGUGGCAUGGAGCCUGCCAUUGUGUUUUGUUUUGGACUCCUGUGCCCCGGGUUUUGACAACUAGUGAUACUUUUUUGUAUCCUUUCUGGUCUGUAUCAGUUUGUCUCUGCUGGCUUCCUGUUAAAUCCAGAAUUGAAUUCAAAAUCCUGCUCCUCACAGGAUUUAAAUAAUCAGGCCCCAUCUUAUGUUAAUGACCUUAAAGACACUUCCGGUGCUGCUCCGAGCUGGCAGCCAGUAUCAGCAGCUCCGACCUGAACAAAUCCUUUUUUUUCUCUUUAAUAUAUGUUUCUUUGUUGUUUGUGUUUAUUGUUUUUGUUUUUCUAUUGUGGACUGCUGUCCCCCACAAUGGAGCUCAGAAUUCUAUGGACAAUGGUGUUCUUUAUUACAUUUUUUACGGCGUCUUUGUCCGGAGAGCGCGUGGAGGUCCGACCUCCCAUUGUUUACAGAUCAGCUGUUAGCCCUCGGAGCCUCCGCUGCCCUGCCUACCGCCGAGCAAGCUAACAUCCCCCGCGAGGUGAGGAGGAAGAGACGCGGUACUCGGGCCGGGAUCGGGCGUCGCAGUAAAGUUAGGAGGUACCGGCCAGCGAUUCCAUCUAUUAUUAUGGGGAAUGUGAGAUCUCUCCCCAAUAAAGUAGACGAACUGGCGGCCCUUACCCGACAUCAGAGGAGCUACAGGGAGUGCAGCCUGAUGUGCUUCACAGAGUCGUGGCUAACUGCGCUAACUCCGGACUCACACGUAAACAUGGAUGGUUUUCAUCUGAUCCAGGCCGACAGAACAACGGAGAGUGGUAAGAAGGGAGGAGGGGGUCUGGCUGUGUGAACGAUAGAUGGUGUAACUCUGGGCAUUUAUCUAUCAAAGAGACGCUAUGCUGUGAGGACAUUGAGCUGCUAGCGGUUAGCAUGAGACCGUACCGCGAGAGUUCACACACGUGAUUAUGAUAGCCGUGUAUGUCCCGCCCUCUGCUAACGCUACAGCAGCCUGUGAGGUCCUGCACACUGUAACCAGCAGACUCUAAACACAGCACCCUCAGGCCCUUUUCCUGAUCUCUGGGGACUUUAAUCACAUCUCCCUGUCCUCCACUCUCCCCACCUUCACCAAGUAUGUUACCUGCCACACCAGAGACAAUAAAACAUUGCCAACACCAAGGAGGCAUACAGCUCAUCACCUCUUCCUCCCCUGGGGGGCUCUGAUCACAAUCUGGUUCAUCUCCAGCCUGUGUAUAAACCUCUAGUACACAGAGAACCAGUUGUGAAACGCACAGUAAGGAAAUGGUCGGCAGAGACUGAAGAGGCCCCGAGGGACUGUUUCCGUUCUACUGUGUGGGAAACCUCUGCAGCCCCCUGGAGGAUGACCUUAACAGCAUCACAGACUGUGUAACCCAUGGUUAUUUUAUUGCCAAUUGUAUUUUAAUUUGAAGUGUUACUGUUUUGUUAAAUGCUGAGUUUUCCCAUGUACCGUGAAUGCACCAUAGCGCGUGCGUGGUGACUUUCUUUCACUGCAUCCGCCUGCACGGAGCUAGAUACGCAAAGCUGUGUGGCUAUUCAGUCCUGUAACGUGUUGCGCUACGGAAUUAAUGUUUUCUUUGAAGAAUAUCCUGGUGAGUCUCACAGUUGCAGUUUCAGUUGUGCUUCAUUGUCCAGUUUCUGAGCAUAAAACCAGUCAGGAUACAAUGCUUGUCGGAAAUGUGAUGUUUGUCUUAGAACCUGCUAACGAUUGCUUAGCUGUGUUAGCCUGUGGAAAGUAUGCUAGCGUACCCACAUGUGCUCCCUGGGCUAAUGCGCUUACAUGUGAAGUUUUAGCUAACACACCACGGAGACACUUUUCAUGAUUCAUGAUUUGCAGUGAAAUGUAUUUUGUUGUUGAUAAAUUGUUAUUGGCCAAUAAGAACUGUAUAGAUGUGUGAGGAACAAAAGGGAUAACACUAGAGAAACACAUGUUUUAUUUUACAAGUGAGUGAUUGCACUGCAUGUUGUGUGCAGGCUGGUUUUUUGUUUAUGUGGUAGAAAUCUGCUGCAAGGACCGAGCGGUGCCAUCUAAGGACUGGAUGCCACUGGAGGUGCCUAGAAAGGACGUUCUCAAUCUGAAGGCCACCUGUUUCCUUGGAGGGUGGUAGG